CAGAGANCUUAUCAUGACAUCUUCNUGAUGCCUUCGGGAACUCUGAGACCGGUGCUGCNUGGCUGUCGUCAGACUCGUGUUGUGAAAUGUUGGGUUAAGUCCGCAAGGAGCCGGCAACCCUUAUCCUUUGUUGCCAGCGGUUCGGCCGGGAACUCAAAGGAGACUGCCAGUGAUAAACUGGAGGAAGGUGGGGAUGACGUCAAGUCAUCAUGGCCCUUACGAGUAGGGCUACACACGUGCUACAAUGGCAUAUACAAAGAGAAGCGACCUCGCGAGAGCAAGCGGACCUCAUAAAGUAUGUCGUAGUCCGGAUCGGAGUCUGCAACUCGACUCCGUGAAGUCGGAAUCGCUAGUAAUCGUGGAUCAGAAUGCCACGGUGAAUACGUUCCCGGGUCUUGUAC
This 401-nucleotide ribosomal RNA is filed under the name Pantoea agglomerans. RNAcentral's name for it is "bacterial SSU rRNA". It matches the Rfam family "Bacterial small subunit ribosomal RNA", at positions 989 to 1386 of the family's 1533-position model. Lineage: Bacteria; Pseudomonadati; Pseudomonadota; Gammaproteobacteria; Enterobacterales; Erwiniaceae. The record is from RNAcentral.